UAGUGGUUUACAUGGUGAACAUAAUGUUUUUGUUAUUGGUGGUGUAAAGCUUGUAAGCAAUAUAUAGGAACAUCACAAGAAAGCUAGACACGUUUUGGGGGACAAAUACAUUCGAAAUAUAGUUCACAGAAUUUGCUAAAGAUAAAACUGCUUCAUAAUUUUUUUUUAAUGUUUUACCACCAUAUCUGUUAAAUGGUUUGGUAGUGUGGGUGGGUAAAAUAGAAUAUGUUUAUCGGGGGAAGGAGUAGUAGAUACUGAAUUACGAAUUUCUUUUUUUCCAGUCAUGCUUGCAGCUUUGUGAGUCUGUCUCACAGAGAAACAGCAGAUGGAUUUAGCGUAUGAUCUGUGGCUUGAAAGAAACCAGAGUUGCUGCUACUCUGCUCUACAAGCCACAUCACCAGGGCAACAUGGCAUUUACAGGCAAAUACGAGUUUGAAGGCGAUGAGAACUAUGAUGACUUUGUGACGAAGAUUGGUCUCCCCAGUGACAAAAUUGAAAUGGGAAGGAAUUGCAAAAUAGUCACUGAGGUGGUGCAAAAUGGAAAUGACUUCACCUGGACACAGCAUUUCCCAGGAGGCCGUACCACAACCAACAUAUUCACAGUUGGCAAGGAAGCAGACAUGGAGACAAUGGGUGGUAAAAAGUUCAAGGCAACUGUAAAAAUGGAAGAUGGGAAAUUAGUAGCUGAUUUUCCCAACUAUCGCCAUACUUCAGAGAUUUCUGGAGGAAAGCUUGUGGAGAGGCUGCUCUUGGACUUAACCUGCCCCAACUCCACCCAUGAUACAACAGCACAUAUGGAACAUGGAAGUCAAUGCACAAUUCCUGCUUAGAAUGUAGUCACCAGAAGAAAGACUGAAUGUAUAGCUGUGUUCUCCUAUUCAGUCUGUCAAUCUCCUCAGGUGAUGUCAGCCUGGUACAGAAAUUUAAUGAGUAUGCUAGUGGAAGUAGGAGAAAUCACUGCAUGCCCAGAAAACUACAGACAGGAUCUGUCAUUCUGGCUCCUGAAAGACCAAGCCUCCUUGUCUGCUGGAACUGCCCUUUCAUAUGCUGCUUCUGCUUAUCUUUGACCUGUUUAUCUACUUCAGCAACUUUGCUUUGGGCUACUGAACAAUUACCACAUUGAAAUGCUAAAAGCAGCAACACACAUGUCUUGGAAAUUACUUGGCCAGCUUUGCUCAAUCUGUCGAUCAGUGUCUCUCCACAAAAAGCCUCCACAAAGUCAGACCACAGCAUUUAAAGGGAUCACCACUUAAACUCAAAACAUGAAAAAUAAGGCUUGGACUGAGAAACAGUGUUAAGGUGAAGACAAAUUUUAAGCUGGCUCCUCCUACCAGCUUCAAGACCUGACCUUCCAAAAGAAGGGAGUCAAUGUAAACAUUUUUAAGUGGUGUAGGGGACAGCAACCACAUCUGAAAGCCAGACAGGCUCCAGACAUUAGCCAUUCAUUCUCUGCAGAGACAGCUCACCACCAGUAACCUGACCACUUCAGCUGGCACAAUCCAUUACCUGAGCUUAGGAGACACGAUUUCGUCUGGUCUGGAUGGCUUUAUAACUGGACUGAGCAAAAGCACUU
Molecule: RNA transcript, 1573 nt
Organism: Pezoporus occidentalis (night parrot)
Lineage: Eukaryota; Metazoa; Chordata; Aves; Psittaciformes; Psittacidae
Gene: FABP6
Gene name: fatty acid binding protein 6
Exons: 7
Source: RefSeq, a predicted model, not a curated record